UAGUGAUUAGAGUUUGAUCAUGGCUCAGAUUGAACGCUGGCGGCAUGCCUUACACAUGCAAGUCGAACGGCAGCGCGGGGGUAACCUGGGCGGCGAGUGGCGAACGGGUGAGUAAUAUAUCGGAACGUGCCCUGGAGUGGGGGAUAACGUAGCGAAAGUUACGCUAAUACCGCAUACGAUCUACGGAUGAAAGUGGGGGAUCGCAAGACCUCAUGCUCCUGGAGCGGCCGAUAUCUGAUUAGCUAGUUGGUAGGGUAAAAGCCUACCAAGGCGACGAUCAGUAGCUGGUCUGAGAGGACGACCAGCCACACUGGGACUGAGACACGGCCCAGACUCCUACGGGAGGCAGCAGUGGGGAAUUUUGGACAAUGGGGGCAACCCUGAUCCAGCAAUGCCGCGUGAGUGAAGAAGGCCUUCGGGUUGUAAAGCUCUUUUGUCAGGGAAGAAACGGUUCUGGAUAAUACCCGGAGCUAAUGACGGUACCUGAAGAAUAAGCACCGGCUAACUACGUGCCAGCAGCCGCGGUAAUACGUAGGGUGCAAGCGUUAAUCGGAAUUACUGGGCGUAAAGCGUGCGCAGGCGGUUGUGCAAGACAGAUGUGAAAUCCCCGGGCUCAACCUGGGAAUUGCAUCUGUGACUGCACGGCUAGAGUGUGUCAGAGGGGGGUAGAAUUCCACGUGUAGCAGUGAAAUG
Molecule: ribosomal RNA, 693 nt
Filed under: uncultured bacterium
Lineage: Bacteria
Description: bacterial SSU rRNA
Rfam family: Bacterial small subunit ribosomal RNA
Source: RNAcentral